CUUGUCUAACAUAAGAGGUCCAGCCUGCCCAGUGACAUUGUUCAACGGCCGCGGUAUCCUAACCGUGCGAAGGUAGCGUAAUCACUUGUUCUUUAAAUGAGGACUAGUAUGAAAGGCAUCACGAGAGUCAUACUGUCUCCUUUCUCUAAUCAGUGAAACUAAUCUCCCCGUGAAGAAGCGAGGAUAAAAAUAUAAGACGAGAAGACCCUAUGGAGCUUAAAACAAAUAACAUUUGCCUUUCUAACUUCAAAUUUCAGAAAAACUUCCUAUCUUGGCAUUAUAAUUAUUAGUUUUUGGUUGGGGUGACCACGGAACAAAAAACAACUUCCGCAAUGAAAGACACUCCUUUACUAAGUCAAGGACUACAACCCUACACAUCAACAAAUUGACAUUAAUUGACCCAACAUGUUGAUCAAUGGAC
RNAcentral lists this ribosomal RNA (421 nucleotides) under Adenomera diptyx group sp. ABGD cluster 12. RNAcentral's name for it is "partial large subunit ribosomal RNA". It matches the Rfam family "Bacterial large subunit ribosomal RNA", at positions 1822 to 2457 of the family's 2925-position model. Lineage: Eukaryota; Metazoa; Chordata; Amphibia; Anura; Leptodactylidae. The record is from RNAcentral.